UACAGAGGGGGCAAGCGUUGUUCGGAAUUACUGGGCGUAAAGGGAGCGUAGGCGGAUAGUUUAGUCAGAGGUGAAAGCCCAGGGCUCAACCCUGGAAUUGCCUUUGAUACUGGCUAUCUUGAGUGUGGGAGAGGUUAGCGGAACUCCGAGUGUAGAGGUGAAAUUCGUAGAUAUUCGCAAGAACACCAGUGGCGAAGGCGGCUCACUGGCCCGGUACUGACGCUGAGGUGCGAAAGCGUGGGGAGCAAACAGG
Molecule: ribosomal RNA, 253 nt
Filed under: uncultured bacterium
Lineage: Bacteria
Description: partial 16S ribosomal RNA
Rfam family: Bacterial small subunit ribosomal RNA
Source: RNAcentral